This 254-nucleotide ribosomal RNA is filed under the name uncultured bacterium. Its description in RNAcentral is "partial 16S ribosomal RNA". It matches the Rfam family "Bacterial small subunit ribosomal RNA", at positions 524 to 776 of the family's 1533-position model. The record is from RNAcentral.
UACGGAGGGUGCAAGCGUUAUCCGGAUUCACUGGGGUUUAAAGGGUGUGUAGGCGGAUUUUUAAGUCAGUGGUGAAAUCUCCGGGCUCAACCCGGAAACUGCCAUUGAUACUAUUAGUCUUGAAUUCUGUUGAGGUGGGCGGAAUACAUCAUGUAGCGGUGAAAUGCUUAGAUAUGAUGUAGAACACCGAUUGCGAAGGCAGCUCACUAAGCAGACAUUGACGCUGAGGCACGAAAGCGUGGGGAUCAAACAGG